Molecule: ribosomal RNA, 349 nt
Filed under: uncultured bacterium
Lineage: Bacteria
Description: partial 16S ribosomal RNA
Rfam family: Bacterial small subunit ribosomal RNA
Source: RNAcentral
CCUACGGGUGGCAGCAGUCGAGAAUCAUUCACAAUGGGGGAAACCCUGAUGGUGCGACGCCGCGUGGGGGAAUGAAGGUCUACGGAUUGUAAACUCCUGUCAUGUGGGAGCAAAUUAAAAAGAGAGUACCACAAGAGGAAGAGACGGCUAACUCGGUGCCAGCAGCCGCGGUAAUACAGAGGUCUCAAGCGUUGUGCGGAAUCACUGGGCGUAAAGCGUGCGUAGGCGGUUUCGUAAGUGGUGUGUGAAAUGCGCGGGCUCAACCCGCGGACGGCAUAUGAUAAUGCGAGACUAGAGUAUUGUAGGGGUAACCGGAAUUCACGGUGUAGCAGUGAAAUGCGUAGAUAUC